UCGAACGCUGAAGGCCCAGCUUGCUGGGUUGGAUGAGUGGCGAACGGGUGAGUAACACGUGAGUAACCUGCCCCCUUCUUUGGGAUAACGGUCGGAAACGGCUGCUAAUACCGGGUAUUCACUGUCCUUCGCAUGGGGGGUGGUGGAAAGGUUUUUUCUGGUGGGGGAUGGGCUCGCGGCCUAUCAGCUUGUUGGUGGGGUGAUGGCUCACCAAGGCUUUGACGGGUAACCGGCCUGAGAGGGUGACCGGUCACAUUGGGACUGAGAUACGGCCCAGACUCCUACGGGAGGCAGCAGUGGGGAAUAUUGCACAAUGGGCGAAAGCCUGAUGCAGCGACGCCGCGUGAGGGAUGACGGCCUUCGGGUUGUAAACCUCUUUCGCUCAUGGUCAAGCCGCAACAGUGGUUGUGGUGAGGGUAGUGGGUAAAGAAGCACCGGCUAACUACGUGCCAGCAGCCGCGGUAAUACGUAGGGUGCGAGCGUUGUCCGGAAUUAUUGGGCGUAAAGGGCUUGUAGGCGGUUUGUCGCGUCUGCCGUGAAAUCCUCUGGCUUAACUGGGGGCGUGCGGUGGGUACGGGCAGGCUUGAGUGCGGUAGGGGAGACUGGA
This 607-nucleotide ribosomal RNA is filed under the name uncultured Actinomycetes bacterium. RNAcentral describes it as "bacterial SSU rRNA". It matches the Rfam family "Bacterial small subunit ribosomal RNA", at positions 62 to 665 of the family's 1533-position model. The record is from RNAcentral. Lineage: Bacteria; Bacillati; Actinomycetota; Actinomycetes.